This 1440-nucleotide ribosomal RNA is filed under the name uncultured organism. RNAcentral's name for it is "16S ribosomal RNA". It matches the Rfam family "Bacterial small subunit ribosomal RNA". The record is from RNAcentral.
CGGCGUGCUUAACACAUGCAAGUCGAACGGAAAGGCCCUGCUUUUGUGGGGUGCUCGAGUGGCGAACGGGUGAGUAACACGUGAGUAACCUGCCCUUGACUUUGGGAUAACUUCAGGAAACUGGGGCUAAUACCGGAUAGGAGCUCCUGCUGCGUGGUGGGGGUUGGAAAGUUUCGGCGGUUGGGGAUGGACUCGCGGCUUAUCAGCUUGUUGGUGGGGUAGUGGCUUACCAAGGCUUUGACGGGUAGCCGGCCUGAGAGGGUGACCGGCCACAUUGGGACUGAGAUACGGCCCAGACUCCUACGGGAGGCAGCAGUGGGGAAUAUUGCACAAUGGGCGGAAGCCUGAUGCAGCAACGCCGCGUGCGGGAUGACGGCCUUCGGGUUGUAAACCGCUUUCGCCUGUGACGAAGCGUGAGUGACGGUAAUGGGUAAAGAAGCACCGGCUAACUACGUGCCAGCAGCCGCGGUGAUACGUAGGGUGCGAGCGUUGUCCGGAUUUAUUGGGCGUAAAGGGCUCGUAGGUGGUUGAUCGCGUCGGAAGUGUAAUCUUGGGGCUUAACCCUGAGCGUGCUUUCGAUACGGGUUGACUUGAGGAAGGUAGGGGAGAAUGGAAUUCCUGGUGGAGCGGUGGAAUGCGCAGAUAUCAGGAGGAACACCAGUGGCGAAGGCGGUUCUCUGGGCCUUUCCUGACGCUGAGGAGCGAAAGCGUGGGGAGCGAACAGGCUUAGAUACCCUGGUAGUCCACGCUGUAAACGGUGGGUACUAGGUGUGGGGUCCAUUCCACGGGUUCCGUGCCGUAGCUAACGCUUUAAGUACCCCGCCUGGGGAGUACGGCCGCAAGGCUAAAACUCAAAGGAAUUGACGGGGCCCCGCACAAGCGGCGGAGCAUGCGGAUUAAUUCGAUGCAACGCGUAGAACCUUACCUGGGUUUGACAUGGAUCGGGAGUGCUCAGAGAUGGGUGUGCCUCUUUUGGGGUCGGUUCACAGGUGGUGCAUGGCUGUCGUCAGCUCGUGUCGUGAGAUGUUGGGUUAAGUCCCGCAACGAGCGCAACCCUUGUUCACUGUUGCCAGCACGUUAUGGUGGGGACUCAGUGGAGACCGCCGGGGUCAACUCGGAGGAAGGUGGGGAUGACGUCAAGUCAUCAUGCCCCUUAUGUCCAGGGCUUCACGCAUGCUACAAUGGCUGGUACAGAGAGUGGCGAGCCUGUGAGGGUGAGCGAAUCUCGGAAAGCCGGUCUCAGUUCGGAUUGGGGUCUGCAACUCGACCUCAUGAAGUCGGAGUCGCUAGUAAUCGCAGAUCAGCAACGCUGCGGUGAAUACGUUCCCGGGGCUUGUACACACCGCCCGUCAAGUCAUGAAAGUUGGUAACACCCGAAGCCGGUGGCCUAACCGUUGUGGGGGAGCCGUCGAGGGUGGGACUGGUGAUUAGGACUAAGUC